AACGAACGCUGGCGGCAUGCCUAACACAUGCAAGUCGAACGAGCCCUUCGGGUCUAGUGGCGCACGGGUGCGUAGCGCGUGGGAACCUGCCCUUAGGUUCGGCCUACCUCUCCGACUGGGGUACUAAUACCAGAUAAUGUCUUCGGCCCAAAGAUUUAUCGCCUUUGGUUGGGCCCGCGUUGAAUUAGCUUGUUGUUAGGGUAAUAGACUACCAAGGCGACGAUCCAUAGCUGGUCUGAGAGGAUGAUCAGCCACACUGGGACUGAGACACGGCCCAGACUCCUACGGGAGGCAGCAGUGGUGAAUAGUGGACAAUGGGCGAAAGCCUGAACCAGCAAUGCCGCGUGAGUGAUGAAGGCCGGAGGGUUGUAAAGCUCUUGUACCCGUGAUGAUAAUGACAGUACCGGGAGAAUAAGCCCCGGCUAACUCCGUG
RNAcentral lists this ribosomal RNA (433 nucleotides) under uncultured bacterium. RNAcentral's name for it is "partial 16S ribosomal RNA". It matches the Rfam family "Bacterial small subunit ribosomal RNA", at positions 29 to 507 of the family's 1533-position model. The record is from RNAcentral.